GCGGUAAUUCCAGCUCCAAUAGCGUAUGCUAAAGCUGCUGCGGUUAAAAAGCUCGUAGUUGGAUCUCAGUUCCAGGCGGGUGGUGCAUCUAACCGAUGCCACAGCCCGGGCUGAACAUCAUGCCUCCCGUCCUCUGGUGUCCUUCACUGGAUGCCUCUGGGUGGUCGGUGCAUUUACUUUGAAAAAAUUGGAGUGCUCAACGCAGGCGCAUUGCCUGAAUACUCAUGCAUGGAAUAAUAGAACAAGACCCCGUUUCUGUUCUGUUGGUUUUUGGAAAACGAGGUAAUGAUUAAGAGGGACAGACGGGGGCAUUCGUAUUGCGGCGCUAGAGGUGAAAUUCUUGGACCGUCGCAAGACGAACUACUGCGAAAGCAUUUGCCAAGAAUGUUUUCAUUGAUCAAGAACGAAAGUUAGAGGUUCGAAGGCGAUCAGAUACCGCCCUAGUUCUAACCAUAAACGAUGCCAACCAGCAAUCCGCCUGAGUUACUCAAAUGACUCGGCGGGCAGCUUCCGGGAAACCAAAGUAUUUGGGUUCCGGGGGAAGUAUGGUUGCAAAGCUGAAA
RNAcentral lists this ribosomal RNA (563 nucleotides) under Alectorobius capensis. RNAcentral describes it as "SSU rRNA". It matches the Rfam family "Eukaryotic small subunit ribosomal RNA", at positions 576 to 1142 of the family's 1831-position model. The record is from RNAcentral. Lineage: Eukaryota; Metazoa; Arthropoda; Arachnida; Ixodida; Argasidae.